AUUGAACGCUGGCGGCAUGCCUAACACAUGCAAGUCGAACGGCAGCACGGGAGCUUGCUCCUGGUGGCGAGUGGCGGACGGGUGAGUAAUGCAUAGGAAUCUGCCCAGUAGCGGGGGACAACUUGGGGAAACUCAAGCUAAUACCGCAUACGCCCUACGGGGGAAAGCGGGGGACCUUCGGGCCUCGCACUAUUGGAUGAGCCUAUGUCAGAUUAGCUUGUUGGUGGGGUAAAGGGCCUACCAAGGCGACGAUCUGUAGCUGGUCUGAGAGGACGAUCAGCCACACUGGGACUGAGACACGGCCCAGACUCCUACGGGAGGCAGCAGUGGGGAAUAUUGCACAAUGGGCGAAAGCCUGAUGUAGCAAUGCCGCGUGUGUGAAGAAGGCCUGCGGGGUUGUAAAGCACUUUCAGUAGGGAGGAACAGUAGCCGGUUAAUAUCCGGUUGCCUUGACGUUACCUACAGAAGAAGCACCGGCUAACUCUGU
Molecule: ribosomal RNA, 487 nt
Filed under: uncultured bacterium
Lineage: Bacteria
Description: bacterial SSU rRNA
Rfam family: Bacterial small subunit ribosomal RNA
Source: RNAcentral